GAUGAACGCUGGCGGCGUGCCUAAUACAUGCAAGUCGAGCGAACAGACGAGGAGCUUGCUCCUCUGACGUUAGCGGCGGACGGGUGAGUAACACGUGGAUAACCUACCUAUAAGACUGGGAUAACUUCGGGAAACCGGAGCUAAUACCGGAUAAUAUAUUGAACCGCAUGGUUCAAUAGUGAAAGACGGUUUUGCUGUCACUUAUAGAUGGAUCCGCGCCGCAUUAGCUUGUUGGUAAGGUAACGGCUUACCAAGGCAACGAUGCGUAGCCGACCUGAGAGGAGGGAGGGCCCAAAGGGGAAGAGAACAGGCCAGGUACUCAUAAGGGAGGCGCAAGGAGGGAUUAUCAGGAAAGGGGAGAAAGUAAGACGGAGAGGCGCCGCGAGAAGGAGAAGGGUCUACGAAUGUAAAAACUUUGUUAUUGGGAAAGAAAAAAUGUGAAAGAACCAAUGCGCGUAGGAAGGGUACAUAAUAAAAAAACCAAGCCUAAUGAAGGC
This 497-nucleotide ribosomal RNA is filed under the name uncultured bacterium. RNAcentral describes it as "partial 16S ribosomal RNA". It matches the Rfam family "Bacterial small subunit ribosomal RNA", at positions 28 to 508 of the family's 1533-position model. The record is from RNAcentral.